UGGGGAAUUUUGCACAAUGGGGGAAACCCUGAUGCAGCGACGCCGCGUGAUUUAGAAGGCCUUCGGGUUGUAAAAAUCUUUUCUAUGGGAAGAAAAUGACAGUACCAUAGGAAUAAGGACCGGCUAAUUACGUGCCAGUAGCCGCGGUAAUACGUAAGGUCCGAGCGUUGUCCGGAAUCAUUGGUCGUAAAGGGUACGUAGGCGGGUAAGCAAGUUAGAAGUGAAAUCCUAUAGCUCAACUAUAGUAAGCUUUUAAAACUGCUCAUCUUGAGGUAUGGAAGGGAAAGUGGAAUUCCUAGUGUAGCGGUGAAAUGCGCAGAUAUUAGGAGGAAUACCGGUGGCGAAGGCGACUUUCUGGCCAUAACCUGACUCUGAGGUACGAAAGCGUGGGUAGCAAACAGG
Molecule: ribosomal RNA, 402 nt
Filed under: bacterium
Lineage: Bacteria
Description: partial 16S ribosomal RNA
Rfam family: Bacterial small subunit ribosomal RNA
Source: RNAcentral